UACAUUUUAAAAAGUAAAGCGUAUGCUGGAAUGCUGGACAAACUAGCAUAUUUUUACUGCGGCGACGUCUUUUGGCCACUUACGUGCUCAACAAGAAAACCUGUUCGACGAAAAGGGAACUGUAUUGCCACUUACGUGCUCAAUUAUACAAUACCAAUGCUAAAGCACACAUAGGGCAACCGAGAAACGUGGGAAUUUAAAUCUACCGCGUCAAUUAUUUUAAUGAGCUGGCGCAACCAGCUUUUAUUCCCCAGGCAUGUAAAACGCCGUCCUUACAACACGUUGCAACUUUACAAGGCAGUUUGGAUGAAGCAGCGACAAACCUACAAGCACUGUUUUGAUUUGAUGAACUACAAGCACUGUGUUGAUGUGCAGGAUUAUAUUUGUUUCUUCUACAAGAGUUGAAGUUAAGUACUAUUGCUACUGUUUAGUAUUACUUAAUUAUAAACUAUUUUUCUAAUUAGUUAUUUAGUGUAACUUAAUUAUUAACUAAUAUUUUAAUGUACUUACACUCGAAUAUGAUUAUUUAUGAGUAUAUUACAUAUGCAUUUGUAAACCUAUUAUAAUAAUUUUAGUAUUGUGCCUUGCGAUUGGUAUUCUUAUUUUAUCCUUAAUUUAAUAUUUAACAAACUUGUUCCAGGAAUUUCGCUACAGUCUUUAAUUUUGACAGAAUACAGAUCACUCGCGACGUGACAUCGGUUUACACAAUCGCUUCGUUACGUCACAAUACGUCUGUAUGACAUCGCGUCAUACUCGCUUCGCCAUCGCUCGCGUUUAUUACGUCAUAGUCAAGUUCACGCCCGAGAGCACACGUUUGCGACGUCACAUCACGUUUUCUUCUAUGCGCUUGCUUUUCGCGACAUUUUUUCAUGGGGCCCCAUGCGCGCUUUGCGUCGUCGCAAGGCACAUUACUUAUACUUACAUAUUAAUUUUAAUCUAAAAUACAUUCGUGCUGUUAGCUAAACAUGAAGCAUGAAGAUCAAAGAUUUGGUAAAGUAUAAAUCACAGUAGGCAUUGUUACGUACACUAGUUCUUUUCUAGAUAACAUCAGAGAUGUGACGUCACGAAGUGGUGAUGACGCAACAGAAGAACCCACUUCAAUAUGGUAUGUGACGUCAUAGGAUCAAGAGAACAAAGCGCGAAUCGUGAUUGAAGAAAAGCCAGCGUAUAUGCUGCUGAAGAAAAGCGCAAGAAGAAGAGCAAAGACGAAGACGACGAUAAGGAUGCCGGUUUGAGGUUUUGCUUAUAGGCUUAGGAGUUGUGUGUUGUUGGGGUGUGGUUGCUGGAGCACUCUUACAGUGUUGCCGGAUUUGUGUUUGUGUCUCAUUUUGCUGGACCUAAUGUGGCCAGCCUUUUUUGUCAGUCACUACUUUAGUGCAUUUUACAUGUCUCUGAAAUAUAUGCAAUGAAAGUAUGGCAAACAUCUUGCUGGAUCGGAUUUUGUUGUUGUACACGUCAUUGUGUGCUUCUUCUGCAAAGGUC
Molecule: non-coding RNA, 1482 nt
Organism: Ciona intestinalis (vase tunicate)
Lineage: Eukaryota; Metazoa; Chordata; Ascidiacea; Phlebobranchia; Cionidae
Source: RefSeq, a predicted model, not a curated record